UAGUUUAAAGUAAAACGAGAAAAAGAAACGUUGGUGUAGUAGUGCUCCAAUAAGAAGUUAUGGCCACACAGGACAGCAUCUAAUUUGCGUGGUCCAAAUUGAUCUCGUCGUUUCGUGGUGAAUUUGCGCGAUCAUGCGUAACGACCGUCAACCGGAUCGAACCGCUGACGUCGUCUCUGCGAAGGGCGUAAACAACUCGGCAAGAGAGGCUAAGUAAGUAAGAUCGAGACAAGAUCAAGAGACAUUCUUAAGAACCGGAGCGAGAAGGAUUAGAUCUUCUGCACCGAACAGAAAAUAGGCUUGCAGUGAAGUGAACGCAGUUUAGAAGCUGUUCUGCGACCGAAAAAAAUAAGUUGGCAAGCGUUAGAAGUAGACUAAGCCGGUAAUUCGGGAAGGAAAGAAUGUUAGAACACAUCGGUGGUGGAUCUAUUAUAAAAGCCGUCUGGACCCUCGUAUUUUUCAAGAAGCCUCGAAAUGGAUUUUAUAAUCAGCAAAUUAAUAUUCAUAGUAUAAUUAACUUCGAACAGACUAAAAAUACGGAUGAUCAACAGAGUUAAGAAACCAGCAAUAUAAAAGGAUCUUUCCGUUUAAGGGUUAAAUAUUUGUUCACCAACUCGUAAUAGCUGGUAAGAGAGACACGGCGUAGAACGGACGAACGCAUAGAACGGGCUAGACCGGGUCAGGGGGAAAUGAUGUAGCUCUAUCGCACGUAUAGGGGGCGUGAACACGUGGAAUGAGACGUCGUUUGGAACUUGUUUCGAUUGGAACGAAACAAAACGAAAAAAACGACGGCGAGCGUCGAGACGGCAUAGGCUGCGUGCGCAAGAAAUACGUAGAUAGAGGAGUCACUUAUGGAGGAAAUAGAAGAAAGUAACAUUGGAUGCUGUAUGGAUCGAUUGGUUCUAACGACUGACCGCCCAACGAAGUGUUUUAAGAUACAAUUCGAUUCGUCGUGGUAUCGACCGAAGAAACAAUACAUCAGCAUCAAAGCAUCUUGAGCAAAAGUGCGUUGGGUAUGAGCGGAAGCAUUAGGGGUAUAUGGAGGUGAG
This is a non-coding RNA of Linepithema humile (Argentine ant), 1049 nucleotides long. NCBI's taxonomy places the organism in Eukaryota, Metazoa, Arthropoda, Insecta, Hymenoptera, Formicidae. The record is from RefSeq and is a predicted model, not a curated record.